UACGGAGGGUGCAAGCGUUGCUCGGAAUUAUUGGGCGUAAAGGGUAGGUAGGUGGUCUUAUUUGUGUGGGGUGAAAGCCUUGGGCUUAACUCAAGAAGUGCCCCGCAAACGGUAAGACUAGAGUCUUGGAGAGGCUAGCGGAAUUCCCGGUGUAGCGGUGAAAUGCGUAGAGAUCGGGAGGAACACCAGAGGCGAAGGCGGCUAGCUGGGACGUGACUGACGCUGAGACGCGAAAGCGUGGGGAGCAAACAGG
RNAcentral lists this ribosomal RNA (253 nucleotides) under uncultured bacterium. RNAcentral's name for it is "partial 16S ribosomal RNA". It matches the Rfam family "Bacterial small subunit ribosomal RNA", at positions 524 to 776 of the family's 1533-position model. The record is from RNAcentral.